GACGAACGCUGGCGGCGUGCUUAACACAUGCAAGUCGAACGGAGAGGCCCUGCUUUUGUGGGGUGCUCGAGUGGCGAACGGGUGAGUAACACGUGAGUAACCUGCCCUUGACUUUGGGAUAACUUCAGGAAACUGGGGCUAAUACCGGAUAGGAGCUCCUGCUGCAUGGUGGGGGUUGGAAAGUUUCGGCGGUUGGGGAUGGACUCGCGGCUUAUCAGCUUGUUGGUGGGGUAGUGGCUUACCAAGGCUUUGACGGGUAGCCGGCCUGAGAGGGUGACCGGCCACAUUGGGACUGAGAUACGGCCCAGACUCCUACGGGAGGCAGCAGUGGGGGAAUAUUGCACAAUGGGCGGAAGCCUGAUGCAGCAACGCCGCGUGCGGGAUGACGGCCUUCGGGUUGUAAACCGCUUUCGCCUGUGACGAAGCGUGAGUGACGGUAAUGGGUAAAGAAGCACCGGCUAACUACGUG
RNAcentral lists this ribosomal RNA (469 nucleotides) under uncultured bacterium. RNAcentral describes it as "partial 16S ribosomal RNA". It matches the Rfam family "Bacterial small subunit ribosomal RNA", at positions 28 to 507 of the family's 1533-position model. The record is from RNAcentral.